Molecule: ribosomal RNA, 460 nt
Filed under: uncultured bacterium
Lineage: Bacteria
Description: partial 16S ribosomal RNA
Rfam family: Bacterial small subunit ribosomal RNA
Source: RNAcentral
CCUACGGGGGGCAGCAGUAGGGAAUAUUGGUCAAUGGACGCAAGUCUGAACCAGCCAUGCCGCGUGCAGGAAGACGGCUCUAUGAGUUGUAAACGGCUUUUGUACGAGGGUAAACGCAGAUACGCGUAUCUGUCUGAAAGUAUCGUACGAAUAAGGAUCGGCUAACUCCGUGCCAGCAGCCGCGGUAAUACGGAGAAUUCAAGCGUUAUCCGGAUUUAUUGGGUUUAAGGGGUGAGUAGGCGGUCGGAUAAGUUAGAGGUGAAAUCCCGAGGCUCAACUUCGGAAUUGCCUCUGAUACUGUUCGUCUAGAGAGUAGUUGCGGUAGGCGGAAUGUAUGGUGUAGCGGUGAAAUGCUUAGAGAUCAUACAGAACACCGAUUGCGAAGGCAGCUUACCAAGCUACUUCUGACGUUGAGGCACGAAAGCGUGGGGAGCAAACAGGAUUAGAUACCCUAGUAGUC